AGGUUGGAGACUACAUAAGACUUUGACAGUUGGCGGGAAACCAUCAUCAACUGGAGAGAUGCCGGAAGAGGAAUGUCUGCGACUAAGUCAAGGGCCACUGGAUAAGGGUUGUUGAUGGCAAAACAGGUUGGAGACUACAUAAGACUUUGACAGUUGGCGGGAAACCAUCAUCAACUGGAGAGAUGCCGGAAGAGGAAUGUCUGCGACUAAGUCAAGGGCCACUGGAUAAGGGUUGUUGAUGGCAAAACAGGUUGGAGACUACAUAAGACUUUGACAGUUGGCGGGAAACCAUCAUCAACUGGAGAGAUGCCGGAAGAGGAAUGUCUGCGACUAAGUCAAGGGCCACUGGAUAAGGGUUGUUGAUGGCAAAAA
This is a long non-coding RNA of Dreissena polymorpha, 372 nucleotides long. RefSeq lists it as uncharacterized. NCBI's taxonomy places the organism in Eukaryota, Metazoa, Mollusca, Bivalvia, Myida, Dreissenidae. The transcript is spliced from 6 exons. The record is from RefSeq and is a predicted model, not a curated record.